AUUGAACGCUGGCGGCAGGCCUAACACAUGCAAGUCGAGCGAGCGGCGCACGGGUGAGUAUUGUCUGUGAAACUGCCUGAUGGAGAGGGAUAACUACUGGAAACGCUAGCUAAUAUAGCACACCAUCAGCUGUGCCCAGAUGGGAUUAGCUCGUAGGUGGGGUAAUGGCUCACCUAGGCGCCGAUCCCUAGCUGGUCUGAGAGGAUGACCAGCCACACUGGAACUGAGACACGGUCCAGACUCCUACGGGAGGCAGCAGUGGGGAAUAUUGCACAAUGGGCGCAAGCCUGAUGCAGCCAUGCCGCGUGUGUGAAGAAGGCCUUCGGGUUGUAAAGCACUUUCAGCGGGGAGGCGUUACCCGCAGAAGAAGCACCGGCUAACUCCGUGCCAGCAGCCGCGGUAAUAC
This 406-nucleotide ribosomal RNA is filed under the name uncultured bacterium. RNAcentral's name for it is "partial 16S ribosomal RNA". It matches the Rfam family "Bacterial small subunit ribosomal RNA", at positions 30 to 526 of the family's 1533-position model. The record is from RNAcentral.